This 429-nucleotide ribosomal RNA is filed under the name uncultured bacterium. RNAcentral's name for it is "bacterial SSU rRNA". It matches the Rfam family "Bacterial small subunit ribosomal RNA", at positions 917 to 1344 of the family's 1533-position model. The record is from RNAcentral.
GGACCCGCACAAGUAGUGGAGCAUGUGGUUUAAUUCGAAGAUACGCGCAGAACCUUACCAACACUUGACAUGUUCGUCGCGACUUUAAGAGAUUAAAGUUUUCGGUUCGGCCGGACGAAACACAGGUGCUGCAUGGCUGUCGUCAGCUCGUGUCGUGAGAUGUUGGGUUAAGUCCCGCAACGAGCGCAACCCUCACUUUUAGUUGCCAUCAUUUAGUUGGGCACUCUGAAAGAACUGCCAGUGAUAAGCUGGAGGAAGGUGGGGAUGACGUCAAGUCCUCAUGGCCCUUACGUGUUGGGCUACACACGUGCUACAAUGGUAUCUACAACAGGAAGCAAAACAGCGAUGUUAAGCAAAUCCUUAAAAGAUACCUCAGUUCGGAUUGCACUCUGCAACUCGAGUGCAUGAAGCUGGAAUUACUAGUAAUCG